GUGCACCACUACUGCCUGGCUAAAAUUAUUGGAAUGCUACAGAGAAGUUUAGUAUGGGUGCUGUGCAAGGAUGACACACAAGUCCCUGAAAGAUGCCUGUCUUAC
Small nuclear RNA from Peromyscus maniculatus bairdii (prairie deer mouse), 105 nucleotides. The record is from Ensembl. NCBI's taxonomy places the organism in Eukaryota, Metazoa, Chordata, Mammalia, Rodentia, Cricetidae.